UGGGGAAUUUUGGACAAUGGGCGAAAGCCUGAUCCAGCAAUGCCGCGUGUGUGAAGAAGGCCUUCGGGUUGUAAAGCACUUUUGUCCGGAAAGAAAUCCUUGGCUCUAAUACAGUCGGGGGAUGACGGUACCGGAAGAAUAAGCACCGGCUAACUACGUGCCAGCAGCCGCGGUAAUACGUAGGGUGCAAGCGUUAAUCGGAAUUACUGGGCGUAAAGCGUGCGCAGGCGGUUUGCUAAGACCGAUGUGAAAUCCCCGGGCUCAACCUGGGAACUGCAUUGGUGACUGGCAGGCUAGAGUAUGGCAGAGGGGGGUAGAAUUCCACGUGUAGCAGUGAAAUGCGUAGAGAUGUGGAGGAAUACCGAUGGCGAAGGCAGCCCCCUGGGCCAAUACUGACGCUCAUGCACGAAAGCGUGGGGAGCAAACAGGAUUAGAUACCCUGGUAGUCCACGCCCCUAAACGAUGUCAACUAGUUGUUGGGGAUUCAUUUCCUAGUAACGUAGCUAACGCGUGAAGUUGACCGCCUGGGGAGUACGGUCGCAAGAUUAAAACUUAAUGAAUUGACGGGGUCAUAGCUG
RNAcentral lists this ribosomal RNA (578 nucleotides) under uncultured bacterium. RNAcentral's name for it is "partial 16S ribosomal RNA". It matches the Rfam family "Bacterial small subunit ribosomal RNA", at positions 355 to 932 of the family's 1533-position model. The record is from RNAcentral.